This 4337-nucleotide long non-coding RNA is filed under the name Olea europaea subsp. europaea. Lineage: Eukaryota; Viridiplantae; Streptophyta; Magnoliopsida; Lamiales; Oleaceae. The record is from RNAcentral.
CUCGAACCCAGCCCUUUUCUAACUUUUCUUAAAAAUGGGAACAAGGUGCUACUGUUAAAUGAACAGUAAACUAAUCCGAAGUUAUUGUGCAAGAGAAGAAAAUGGCGUCAUUUUUUGUACCCUUUUCUUUUUUAUUAUUUUCGGCUGAUAGCAUACCUAAUACCAUACCAUUUCCAUUUUUUUCCCUCCAACGACCAUUCCUAUGCUUUUCUUCUGACUUGAUUUGAUGGAGGCGAAAGAAAACCAUCGAGAAAAUUAAACAAUGACUACGCCACUGUUCUUCAUCCUUUUGCGGUUUGGGUCGACACUCUUUCAUCUGGGUAUGAUUUGGUGCACGUUUUCAUAUUCAUAUGCUCAAAUAUUUUUCUAAUUAUUGCUCUAUAUGAAUAUUAUUUCUUUUGUAGGUUGUUCCAAAUAUUCAAAGUGAGUUUCCGAUUUAUGGAUUUAAUUGGUUUUAUUUGUUAAUUUUUUGUUGUAAUGGUAGUUUUGUGCAUUUAUUAUUGUUACCAGAAGCAUCCAGUGAAGUUUGCUGGGGCUUGACUUGUGCAGUGGUAAGUGAUUCUGUUCUCCAUUCAUUUUUUUUAUUUCAUGUCUUCUUUUAUAAAAAAAUUGCUAAUUAAGAUAGAAGUUUUGGAUAUCAUCUUGUUAUUGUAGUUAUAAAUUGUUGAUUGGAGUAUGAGUUGCAAAGAAAUUUAGGAAGCCUUCUUUUACUAGAAAUAAACUUUAAGUUGUGGCUUUAUGACAAAAUUUCACGUUGUCAUAUCUUGGUGUCUUGAACUAUCCUUAUUUUUUAACUAUUACAAAUUCUCUUCAAAUAAUGAAUAGGUAAAUUCUCAGAUGAUAUUUCUAAGCCAAGUGAAAAAAAAAACAAGGAAGACGAAAUGGGUAAGAAUGGCCUCGCCUUCCACACCAUUUUCAAAAUAGAGUUUAUUGUAAAAGAAAAAAAUUAGGAUCUUCUCCAAACUCUAUGAAGAGUUUGGCUUCCACCAUUUUCAAAAUGAGUUUGUGGUAAAAAAAAAAAAAAUUAUGAUCUUUUCCAAACUCUCCAGAGAGUUUGACUUUCCAAACGGUUUGGAGAGUUUGGACAAACUCUCUAUUGUAAAAAAAAAAAAAUAAUAAUAAUACGACGUUCUUCAAACUCUCCGGAGAGUUUGGAUCCAAACUCUUUGGAGAGUUUCUCCAAACUCUGCAAAUAGUUUGGAGAGUUUGGACAAAUUCUCCAAACAGUCCAAAUCGUGCAUUUAGUUUUGCUAAUUUUAUUGUAGAUGUUAGAAAAAAAAAUUUGCUGCGAAGUGUGCACAUGCAAAGUAUGGAGUUGCUCCUCACUGUGCGGAGUAACUUCGCACACUUUGUAUGGAACAACUCCGCACUUUGUUGGGAGCAAAGUGCAGAGUUGCUCUACUCUCCAAACUGUUGGAGAGUUCGGAUCCAAACUGAACUCCAAUCUCUCCAAACAAUUUGGAGAGCUCCAAACUCUCCAAAACAGCUUGGAGAGGCAUAGAUUUUUUUAAUUUUUUUUAAAUCUAUUAAUAUCAAACUCUCCAAAUAGUUUGGAGAGUUGUCUCCAAAAUCUCCAAACAACUCUUCAAACAGCUUGGAGAGGUAUAGGUUUUUCUUUUGAAUCCAUUAGUAUCAAACUCUCCAAACAGUUUGGAGAGUUGUCUCCAAAAUCUCCAAACAGUUUGGAGAGGCAUAGAUUUAUUUUAUUUUAUUUUUUUUAAAUCCAUUACUAUUAAACUAUCCUUGCAUAGUUUUUUUUUUUUUAAUAAAGCUCUCCAAACUAUUUGAAGAGUUCAGAUUCAAACUGAGCUCCAAACUCUCCAACCAGUUUGGAGAGGAAAAUCAACGGAAUUGUGUUAGAGGAAUUCCAGUUUUAGUACAGAUGAGUGGAAAAACCAUAGAUUUUAAUCUACUUUUUUAACCCAACCAAAUAGGGCUUAGUUCGUUGUUUAUUAUUGUUAUGUGUAUUUGGAUGUCAAGAUGCCAUGUUCAACUUUAUUUUAUAAUCCCUUUGUGUAGAGUCUGAUAAAAAAAUUAAUUUCAUUUGAUGCAAUUAGUUUUCUGCUCCCAUGUUCGAAAUUCUCUCAUCUCAACUUGGACAAGUAAUUACUUUUGAGAAAAUGAUUCAAUUGUGAGGAUUAGAUAUUAACUCGCUUGCUCAUUUUAAAUUACAAUAACUAGUUUUAAUAGCCCAAGUACUGACAUUUUUGUCAUUUUUUAGGUGGUUUAUUCCUUCCAAUGUUGUUCUUGCCACCAUAUCAGGAUCCAUUAUAGGUCUCGUUGUUUAUUUUCAUACGUUUGUGCAAUAUGUUUAUUUUGAUUAUUUAUUUUGCUUUUAUAUAAGCAAAAUUUUAACAUAAUCAAGGCUGCAAGAGUGAAUAGAGUUAAGAGGUAUAUCUUCUUUAAGAAGCUGACAAUCACAAGGUGCGGAGUUCCGCAUUCAAGCGAACCCUCUACACUGUGCGGAAAGCAUUUUAUUUUUAUUUUUUUGAAACUAACAUUUUUCUUACUUCUUUAGGCAAAAAAAAAAAAAAAAAAAAAGAAGGAAAAAAAUUAAUUGCGAACUCUCCACACACUAUGAGAGUUCAACCGAACUCUCCACAGUGUGUUGAACUCUCAUAGUGCUCGGAGAGUUCAAAUGGGGAGAGUAUUUUUUUUUUUAUUGGAGCCAGCAUUUUCCUACUUCACACAACAUCCAUUUAUCUUUCUUCUCUUCUAAAAUUUUCAACCCCAUUUUUUUCUUAUAAAAGUUGGCGAGUUUUGAUUUAGAAUUUUUAGUGAUGUUUGAUUUUUUAUUUUCUGUUGUUGAAAGGUAAAUAGCAUAUAUUUCUUGUUUGUGAUUAUACUACUAUUUUAGCUCAUUGAUGUUAUCUUCAAGGUGGUUAGUCAAAUAAAUAUAUAGUUAAAUACUUCAGCUGAAAAAAUAUGGUAAACUAAAAAAAUAAAUAACCAAAUAGUAUUUAAAGCUGAAUCUCCUCACACAAUAUGAGAGUUCAAGCGAACUCUUUGCGCUGUACGGAGAGCAUUUUAGUUUGCAAGCACACUCGCAUGAUUGGUUUGCUAACUCAUUUAAUUCUUCACCAAAUAUAGAUUUGUUGUUUAGAUUUUUUUUUAAAAAUAAUCAUGAUAUAGCAAUUAAAAAAAUAAUUAAUUUCGUAAUUCUCACUUAUUUACUAAUUUAAAGGGUUAAUUUCACAAACGGUCACUGAACUUAAGAGAAAGUUACAAAACAGUCACUGAAAUUUAAAACUUUCAUUAACGGUCACUUAAAUUUUGGGACGCUUUAAAAAAAGGUCACUUAAGUUUAAAAACUUUCAGAAACGGUCAUUGAUGUUCAAAAAUAUUUUUUCAGUUUUUUGGGCUACUUUUGCAGCAACUUUUUGGUCACUUCCGACCUCCGAUACCGUCAAAUUUAGAUACCGUUGGAAAGUCUACAAUGUCUUCUUUAAUUACCACUCAAAAUCUCUCUGUAACUCCAAGGGUUUAUUUACAAUUUCUACACUAAUAAAAACAUAAUAAAUACAAUAUUCGUGCAACGUACGUGUCAACGACUAGUAUUAAAUAAAGAAGUGUGUUUCCUAUCUCUAUGAGUUUCUAAAAGCUUUUCUUGUUCAUCCAAAGUCUUGACGACUAUUAUAACACCAAGAUGAAUAGUAAGAGUAAGAUCUCAGUCGUAUCAUAAGUAUGCUCUGCAGUUACCUCUAUUGAAGAUCAUCUACAUCAAAUCUACAUCAAAAAUUGGCACUACCGAUCAUUAGAUUCAAUAUGGAGGUCCGAUAAUCUUUUUAAUACCAAAAGUCAGGCCAUGUGUGAUUGCCCAAGAGUGUUUAUUUGCGGGCUAGAAUACUAUGUAUACCAACCUAUGUAAUACGCGGCAUUCUAGAAAGUCAAGCCCUAUGUUGUUGCCCAGGAGGGUUUAUUUGCAGAAAAAGAUAUCUCUAAACUGGAAGUUCAACAAUAUCUCGAAAUUGUGAACUACAUGGCUGACUUUUUGAACCUUACAUUUAAAAUAUCAAUUUCAAAAAUUAGGUUUAAAUUUUUUUUUUUUUUUUAAUGGUAUAUACCUUAUCACCCAAGUCUCUUCCCCAUUAGGCCUUCUCCAAAGGAGAUAACAAAAUACCGAAAUGCAACAAAAAAAAAAAAAGGUGCAAAAUAUCUCCAAUGCAGCAUUUGGUGCAAAGUCAAUUUUAUCCUUUGUUUAUAUUUUUUAAAUAAAUUGAUUAAUGGUAUUUGUGUCAUUUAUGAUAUAUAUUUUUAAUACAAUAUUUUUAUUAUAAUUAUUAUUAUCUUGAAUAUUAUUAUUAUGUGAAUUUAUAAUAAAUUCUAAUAACGUGAAG